AUGAACGCUGGCGGCGUGCCUAAUACAUGCAAGUCGAGCGAACGGACGAGAAGCUUGCUUCUCUGAUGUUAGCGGCGGACGGGUGAGUAACACGUGGAUAACCUACCUAUAAGACGGGGAUAACUUCGGGAAACCGGAGCUAAUACCGGAUAAUAUUUUGAACCGCAUGGUUCAAAAGGGAAAAACGGCCUGGCUGUCACUUAUAGAUGGAUCCGCGCUGCAUUAGCUAGUUGGUAAGGUAACGGCUUACCAAGGCAACGAUGCAUAGCCGACCUGAGAGGGUGAUCGGCCACACUGGAACUGAGACACGGUCCAGACUCCUACGGGAGGCAGCAGUAGGGAAUCUUCCGCAAUGGGCGAAAGCCUGACGGAGCAACGCCGCGUGAGUGAUGAAGGUCUUCGGAUCGUAAAACUCUGUUAUUAGGGAAGAACAUAUGUGUAAGUAACUGUGCACAUCUUGACGGUACCUAAUCAGAAAGCCACGGCUAACUACGU
RNAcentral lists this ribosomal RNA (495 nucleotides) under uncultured bacterium. RNAcentral describes it as "partial 16S ribosomal RNA". It matches the Rfam family "Bacterial small subunit ribosomal RNA", at positions 29 to 506 of the family's 1533-position model. The record is from RNAcentral.